CCUACGGGUGGCAGCAGUGAGGAAUAUUGGUCAAUGGACGAGAGUCUGAACCAGCCAAGUAGCGUGAAGGAUGACUGCCCUAUGGGUUGUAAACUUCUUUUAUAUGGGAAUGAAAUGUUCCACGUGUGGGAUUUUGUAUGUACCAUAUGAAUAAGGAUCGGCUAACUCCGUGCCAGCAGCCGCGGUAAUACGGAGGAUCCGAGCGUUAUCCGGAUUUAUUGGGUUUAAAGGGAGCGUAGGUGGAUUGUUAAGUCAGUUGUGAAAGUUUGCGGCUCAACCGUAAAAUUGCAGUUGAAACUGGCAGUCUUGAGUACAGUAGAGGUGGGCGGAAUUCGUGGUGUAGCGGUGAAAUGCUUAGAUAUCACGAAGAACUCCGAUUGCGAAGGCAGUUCACUGGACUGCAACUGACACUGAGGCUCGAAAGUGUGGGUAUCAAACAGGAUUAGAUACCCGUGUAGUC
RNAcentral lists this ribosomal RNA (460 nucleotides) under uncultured bacterium. RNAcentral describes it as "partial 16S ribosomal RNA". It matches the Rfam family "Bacterial small subunit ribosomal RNA", at positions 338 to 795 of the family's 1533-position model. The record is from RNAcentral.